UGCCUCAUAGAGGGGAAUAGCCUUUCGAAAGGAAGAUUAAUACCGCAUAUGGUAGCUUUAUCGCAUGGUAGUGCUAUUAAAGGAGUAAUCCGCUAUGAGAUGGACCCGCGUCGCAUUAGCUAGUUGGUGAGGUAACGGCUCACCAAGGCGACGAUGCGUAGCCGACCUGAGAGGGUGAUCGGCCACAUUGGGACUGAGACACGGCCCAGACUCCUACGGGAGGCAGCAGUGGGGAAUAUUGCACAAUGGGGGAAACCCUGAUGCAGCAACGCCGCGUGAGUGAUGACGGCCUUCGGGUUGUAAAACUCUGUCUUUGGGGACGAUAAUGACGGUACCCAAGGAGGAAGCCACGGCUAACUACGUGCCAGCAGCCGCGGUAAUACGUAGGUGGCAAGCGUUGUCCGGAUUUACUGGGCGUAAAGGGAGCGUAGGUGGAUAUUUAAGUGGGAUGUGAAAUACUCGGGCUUAACCUGGGUGCUGCAUUCCAAACUGGAUAUCUAGAGUGCAGGAGAGGAAAGGAGAAUUCCUAGUGUAGCGGUGAAAUGCGUAGAGAUUAGGAAGAAUACCAGUGGCGAAGGCGCCUUUCUGGACUGUAACUGA
This 600-nucleotide ribosomal RNA is filed under the name Clostridium sp. Y-16. Its description in RNAcentral is "bacterial SSU rRNA". It matches the Rfam family "Bacterial small subunit ribosomal RNA", at positions 127 to 743 of the family's 1533-position model. Lineage: Bacteria; Bacillati; Bacillota; Clostridia; Eubacteriales; Clostridiaceae. The record is from RNAcentral.